GACGAACGCUGGCGGCGUGCUUAACACAUGCAAGUCGAACGGUAAGGCCCUUCGGGGUACACGAGUGGCGAACGGGUGAGUAACACGUGGGUGAUCUGCCCUGCACUUCGGGAUAAGCCUGGGAAACUGGGUCUAAUACCGGAUAGGACUCCUGGCUUCAUGGUUGGGGGUGGAAAGCUUUUGCGGUGUGGGAUGGGCCCGCGGCCUAUCAGCUUGUUGGUGGGGUGAUGGCCUACCAAGGCGACGACGGGUAGCCGGCCGGAAGGGGUGACCGGCCACACUGGGAGUGGGAUACGGCCCAGACUCCUACGGGAGGCAGCAGUGGGGAAUAUUGCACAAUGGGCGCAAGCCUGAGGCAGCGACGCCGCGUGGGGGAUGACGGCCUUCGGGCUGUAAACCUCUUUCAGCACCGACGAAGCGCAAGUGACGGUAGGUGCAGAAGAAGGACCGGCCAACUACGUGCCAGCAGCCGCAGUAA
Molecule: ribosomal RNA, 478 nt
Filed under: uncultured bacterium
Lineage: Bacteria
Description: partial 16S ribosomal RNA
Rfam family: Bacterial small subunit ribosomal RNA
Source: RNAcentral